Misgurnus anguillicaudatus (oriental weatherfish) is the source of this 1096-nucleotide long non-coding RNA. RefSeq lists it as uncharacterized. NCBI's taxonomy places the organism in Eukaryota, Metazoa, Chordata, Actinopteri, Cypriniformes, Cobitidae. The record is from RefSeq and is a predicted model, not a curated record.
UAUAGGAAGGUUAAGUGAGAAUGAAAUGAUCAGUCUGUUCAGAGCGACGACUUGUUUCUCGUUUUGGUGGACCACGGGAACAGACUGAGAAAGUGAGUUUUGGUUUAUUGUUUUGUGAAAUGCUUCCUUUGUCAGUAACCCAUUAUAGUUAAAGACACAGAGAGACAUGAGGAUCAACCAUCUUUACAAGACGGUAGUCUGCAGCCGUGUCAGUUUUUGUCCUCCUGAGCUGUGGAGUGUGACAAUGGUGUUUGUAUCCUGUGUCAUCAAACGCCAUUAUCACACUAAAUAGCCACGGUGUGACCUCACAACCACCUCAGCCAAUCAGAGCAGAGACACAGAAGAACUCUAUGGACUGCUGUUGUGGGAUUAUGAAGCGUGGAUACUUGUGUCUACAUGUAAAGGGUAUUUUUAUUACUGUGACAGUUAAUUGAUCAUUAGCUGUUGAAAACAGAUGGCACGUCUGCUAUUGGUAUGCCUACUGACCCAGUUGUAUUUAUCAGACGGGUUAAUGAGUACAGUAUGCACACAACAUGUGAUGCAUAUGGCACAGUUUCCUCGUAUGGUACAGGGCAUGAUGACACCUAUAAGGAAUAAUGUACAGUAUGGACCUGCUGUAGCAAUUUUUGUUCUUGGUGUAUGAAGUUUAUUGUAAAUGUAUUGUGUGUCAUGUUUACUAGAUACAAUUAUAUCAAUGUCACUGAUGGAUUAUGGAAAUGUCUUUUUUUAAGUACGUGUAGACAGCAAAAGUUAGACAAACGUUUGGGUGAUUUUAAUAAAGUGAAUUCAAUGACCAAAAAAUCAAAUGUUUACGAUUUUUCUCAAUAUCCCAGGAAGCACAGAUCCAAUAAACAAAACUAUUUUCAGUAUACAGAUCACUCAACACAGAAGGACUUCUGAUAACGCACAUAUGUCAGUAUGCUACAACUACCUGUAUAAGACUCUAGAGCUAUACUAUAUAGAUUUGCAUGAAUUAUGCAUACAGUGUAAAUUACAUAUCGUGCAACAAUUCACAGUUCUUAGGUGAUGCAUGUUAGCAGCCCAAGCUUUCCAACAGCGAAUAAAUAAGAGGACAUAUUCUACAUUGCUUUGAAAA